This 440-nucleotide ribosomal RNA is filed under the name uncultured bacterium. RNAcentral's name for it is "partial 16S ribosomal RNA". It matches the Rfam family "Bacterial small subunit ribosomal RNA", at positions 338 to 795 of the family's 1533-position model. The record is from RNAcentral.
CCUACGGGUGGCAGCAGUAGGGGAUAUUGCUCAAUGGGGGAAACCCUGAAGCAGCAACGCCGCGUGGAGGAUGAAGGGUUUCGGAGUGUAAACUCCUUUUGUCAGAGAAGAUAAUGACGGUAUCUAACGAAUAAGCACCGACUAACUCCGUGCCAGCAGCCGCGGUAAUACGGAGGGUGCAAGCGUUACCCGGAAUUACUGGGCGUAAAGAGCGCGUAGGCGGGAUAGCAAGUCAGAUGUGAAAUCCUAUGGCCUAACCAUAGAACUGCAUUUGAAACUGUUAUUCUAGAGUAUGGGAGAGGUAGGUGGAAUUCUUGGUGUAGGGGUAAAAUGCGUAGAGAUCAAGAGGAAUACUCAUUGCGAAGGCGACCUGCUAGAAUAUAACUGACGCUGAUGCGCGAAAGCGUGGGGAGCAAACAGGAUUAGAUACCCUUGUAGUC